RNAcentral lists this ribosomal RNA (489 nucleotides) under uncultured Arcobacter sp. RNAcentral's name for it is "bacterial SSU rRNA". It matches the Rfam family "Bacterial small subunit ribosomal RNA", at positions 903 to 1382 of the family's 1533-position model. Lineage: Bacteria; Pseudomonadati; Campylobacterota; Epsilonproteobacteria; Campylobacterales; Arcobacteraceae. The record is from RNAcentral.
CUACAAAGGAAGUUGCCGGGGACCCCGCACAAGCGGUGGAGCAUGUGGUUUAAUUCGACGAUACGCGAAGAACCUUACCUGGCCUUGACAUACUAAAAAGCUUUAAGAGAUUAGAGUGUGCUAGCUUGCUAGAAUUUAGAUACAGGUGCUGCACGGCUGUCGUCAGCUCGUGUCGUGAGAUGUUGGGUUAAGUCCCGCAACGAGCGCAACCCUCGUGUUUAGUUGCUAACAGUUCGGCUGAGAACUCUAAACAGACUGCCUACGCAAGUAGGAGGAAGGUGAGGACGACGUCAAGUCAUCAUGGCCCUUACGGCCAGGGCUACACACGUGCUACAAUGGGGUAUACAAAGAGCAGCGAUACGGUGACGUGGAGCAAAUCUAGAAAAUGCCUCUCAGUUCGGAUUGUAGUCUGCAACUCGACUACAUGAAGUUGGAAUCGCUAGUAAUCGUAGAUCCAGCAAUGCUACGGUGAAUACGUUCCCGGGUCUU